CCAUGGAUAGGGUGUUUUAUUUUGUGAACAUAGCCAAAAUAAACACCUUAUUCUUGGGG
This is a microRNA precursor of Monodelphis domestica (gray short-tailed opossum), 59 nucleotides long. It matches the Rfam family "mir-7386 microRNA precursor family". Lineage: Eukaryota; Metazoa; Chordata; Mammalia; Didelphimorphia; Didelphidae. The record is from Rfam.